AUUGAACGCUGGCGGCAGGCUUAACACAUGCAAGUCGAGCGGGGAAAGGUAGCUUGCUACCUGACCUAGCGGCGGACGGGUGAGUAAUGCUUAGGAAUCUGCCUAUUAGUGGGGGACAACAUCUCGAAAGGGAUGCUAAUACCGCAUACGUCCUACGGGAGAAAGCAGGGGACCUUCGGGCCUUGCGCUAAUAGAUGAGCCUAAGUCGGAUUAGCUAGUUGGUGGGGUAAAGGCCUACCAAGGCGACGAUCUGUAGCGGGUCUGAGAGGAUGAUCCGCCACACUGGGACUGGGACACGGCCCAGACUCCUACGGGAGGCAGCAGUGGGGAAUAUUGGACAAUGGGGGGAACCCUGAUCCAGCCAUGCCGCGUGUGUGAAGAAGGCCUUUUGGUUGUAAAGCACUUUAAGCGAGGAGGAGGCUACCGAGAUUAAUACUCUUGGAUAGUGGACGUUACUCGCAGAAUAAGCACCGGCUAACUCCGUG
This 485-nucleotide ribosomal RNA is filed under the name uncultured bacterium. RNAcentral describes it as "partial 16S ribosomal RNA". It matches the Rfam family "Bacterial small subunit ribosomal RNA", at positions 30 to 507 of the family's 1533-position model. The record is from RNAcentral.